RNAcentral lists this ribosomal RNA (429 nucleotides) under bacterium. Its description in RNAcentral is "partial 16S ribosomal RNA". It matches the Rfam family "Bacterial small subunit ribosomal RNA", at positions 355 to 776 of the family's 1533-position model. The record is from RNAcentral.
UGGGGAAUCUUCCGCAAUGGACGAAAGUCUGACGGAGCAACGCCGCGUGAGUGAUGACGGCCUUCGGGUUGUAAAGCUCUGUUAAUCGGGACGAAUGGUUCUUGUGCGAAUAGUGCAAGGAUUUGACGGUACCGGAAUAGAAAGCCACGGCUAACUACGUGCCAGCAGCCGCGGUAAUACGUAGGUGGCAAGCGUUGUCCGGAAUUAUUGGGCGUAAAGCGCGCGCAGGCGGAUUGGUCAGUCUGUCUUAAAAGUUCGGGGCUUAACCCCGUGAUGGGAUGGAAGCUGCCAAUCUAGAGUAUCGGGGAGGAAAGUGGAAUUCCUAGUGUAGCGGUGAAAUGCGUAGAUAUUAGGAAGAACACCAGUGGCGAAGGCGAGUUUUUGGACGAAAACUGACGCUGAGGCGCGAAAGCCAGGGGAGCGAGCGGG